UAAAGCUUAACAUAUUGUAUCUACAAUUCCACAAUUUUUACUUAACCCUUCAUCACUACUGAACUAUUUUAUACCCCUAUAAAAGUCAUUAUGCUAGAACUAGUAACAAGAAAUUGCCCUUCUCCAAAAUGUAUGUUUAAACCAAAAUGGACACUCCACUGGUAGUUAACGUAAAUGUAAAAAUCAUAGCACCAUAUACUAGAAAACCCUAUGACUCCCCAACGUCAACCUUACACUAGAACAUUACAGGAAAGAUUAAAAGAGAAAGAAGGAACUCGGCAAACCACAGUCCCGCCUGUUUACCAAAAACACCGCCUCUUGCUCCAAAUAUAAGAGGUCCAGCCUGCCCAGUGACAUAGUUUAACGGCCGCGGUACCCUAACCGUGCGAAGGUAGCAUAAUCACUUGUUCUUUAAAUAAGGACUCGUAUCAACGGCAUCACGAGGGCUGUACUGUCUCCUUUCUCCAAUCAGUGAAACUGAUCUCCCCGUGAAGAAGCGGGGAUUGACCUAUAAGACGAGAAGACCCCAUGGAGCUUUAAACCCAACACACACCUCUACUCACUCAAAUCAACAUAACCCAAGAGACUUAUGUGUUGGUUUUAGGUUGGGGGGACCGCGGAGUAAAAUCAAACCUCCAUGACAGACGGACUAACACCCUUAUCCAUGAACCACAAUUCUAAGAGCCAAUAAAUUGUUGUCUAAUGACCCAAUUACUUGAUCAACGAACCAAGUUACCCUGGGGAUAACAGCGCAAUCUACUUCAAGAGCCCCUAUCGACAAGUAGGUUUACGACCUCGAUGUUGGAUCAGGGUAUCCUAGUGGUGCAGCCGCUACUAAAGGUUCGUUUGUUCAACGAUUAAAAC
This 864-nucleotide ribosomal RNA is filed under the name Amolops mantzorum (Kangting sucker frog). RNAcentral's name for it is "partial 16S rRNA". It matches the Rfam family "Bacterial large subunit ribosomal RNA", at positions 1477 to 2594 of the family's 2925-position model. The record is from RNAcentral. Lineage: Eukaryota; Metazoa; Chordata; Amphibia; Anura; Ranidae.